UCCACAGUAGCUCAGUGGUAGAGCUAUAGGAUGUUACACGAUCAGUCGUAGGUUCUAGUACUACCUGUGGUGCUA
RNAcentral lists this transfer RNA (75 nucleotides) under Staphylococcus aureus. Its description in RNAcentral is "tRNA-Asn". It matches the Rfam family "tRNA". From Rfam's summary of the family: Transfer RNA (tRNA) molecules are approximately 80 nucleotides in length. Their secondary structure includes four short double-helical elements and three loops (D, anti-codon, and T loops). Lineage: Bacteria; Bacillati; Bacillota; Bacilli; Caryophanales; Staphylococcaceae. The record is from RNAcentral.